Molecule: microRNA precursor, 206 nt
Filed under: Oryza glumipatula
Lineage: Eukaryota; Viridiplantae; Streptophyta; Magnoliopsida; Poales; Poaceae
Description: MIR812 microRNA precursor family
Rfam family: MIR812 microRNA precursor family
Source: Rfam by way of RNAcentral
AAUAAGUACAGUCGUGAGUAUCCGUGUCUAACAUUUAACCGUCCAUCUUAUUUUAAAAAUUUAUUAAAAAAUUAAAAAUAAUUAGUCACAUAUAAAUUUAUAUUCAUGUUUUAUCGUCUAAUAAUAAUAAUAAUAAUAAUUAUAAAAAAAUUAAAUAAGACGAACGAUCAAACGUUGAACAUGAACGGUCUAAAACUACACUUAUU